CGUGAUAAGAUGGGCAUAGAUAUUAGAUAAGAUAAUAGUCAGUUAAAGUUAACCAAUAUGGCUUUCAAGCGUACACACUAAAGUUCUUGACGUUGGAACAAUGCGUUUAGGUGAUUAGUGUGCUAGGCAAAACAAAGGCGCAGCUGACAGGUGAAUACAGUAAAAGAGGAGCUGAAGAAACAGACGGAGACGAGUGAGAGAACUAGUCACGAGGAGUCGACACACAGAGACAGGGGUACGAGAGAGGGUCGAGAGAUCGAGAAGAGAGGUCACUGAACAAACAUGGCCAAGAGAAAGAAAAGCACAGAGAUCAAGAUCGGUCAGCAUCAAGUUCGAGCAAGAAAAGGAAAUACGAAGAUGAUAUGUGAAACCAAGAACUGGAGUGUGCGUGCAUACUAUAGCAAGUAAUCAUACCCGCAUACGAUAUUCAGGACGCCGAUCUUCAGGGUAUGUCAUCAUCACAGCUUAUUGUUUUGUAUCGUCAAAGAGGUUAUUCUAUACGUGAAAUUCUUGGAGUUAUGGCCAUACGACAUGGAAAAAUAACAAGCGAACGAUCAAUUGUCCGAGUCUUGAGACGUUACCGCCUGACGUGAGGCCAAAGUCAACACAGUCUCGAAAAAAUUAUUCAAGGAAUAUUGCUUGAGUUUUCAGCUUCCGGUAAAAAUGCUGGUUACCGGAAAAUGCGUCAAAGACUCCUGAUUAAUCAUGGACUUGCAGCUACAUUUGAGAUGGUUCGUCUAAUUUUAGGACUCAUUGAUCCACAAGGUGUUGCAUUAAGGCAGGCGGGAAGGUUAAGGCGGAGAAUUUAUAUAAACAAUGGUCCCAAUUUUGCAAUCCAUUUAGAUGGCUGGGACAAAUUGAAGCCAUACGGUUUGUUAAUCCAUGGAGCUGUGGAUGGAUUUACCCGUAGAGUGUUGUGGCUGAAAUGUUGUGAUUCUAACAAACAGCCGAUGUACAUAUCUAGCUUUUAUUUAGACUACAUUAGGGAAAUUAAUGGCACUCCAGUUCGGGUUUACGGUGACCGCAGUACAGAAAAUUCUAUUGUCCGUGAUGUGCAAAUGGCAUUACGAUGGACAGACGCAGAUCAGUAACAGGGGAUCCUAAGCUUCGUCUAUGUUUCAUCUAACAGAAAUGUCAGAAUUGAGAGGUUUUGGCGAAGUCUUAGAGAAAUGUGUGGAAAUGUCUGGAUGAACCAUUUUAAAGAUAUGAGUGAUUUCGGAUUACUGGACACAUCUUAUAGUGUGCACUUAGAAUGCAUAAGAUACUGUUUUCUUUCUGUCAUUAGUAAAGACCUUUAUGAAGUUUGCAAUAUUUGGAAUACUCAUCGUGUUCGUCGAAAUAACCGAAUAUCAUGUCCUGCAGGAAAACCUGAGGUGUUGUUCUUUCAGCCAGAAGUAUAUGGUGUAAGAGAUUGUAAAAUACCACUGGUUGACAAUAGGGAAUUAAAUGAUGUGGAACGGGAGUAUUCUCAACGCCCUCCAGAACUUGGUGUAUCACAAGAGUUCCUGACAAUUGCAAGAGCAGCUGUCGGAGAUUUCAAUCUUCAAUACCCACCUAGAAACAGAGAAAAAGGAACAGAGCUUUUUGCUGCAAUAACCAUGUACAUUGAACGCCUCGUUUAACACGGAAAUGAAACAAAAAUGAACUUUAUGAUACUUCCUUACAAGCUGGCAAACUUGUGCAUUGGUUGACAAAAUGUCAAUUAAUAGAUAAUGUUGUGUCUGAAAG
Molecule: long non-coding RNA, 1728 nt
Organism: Dreissena polymorpha
Lineage: Eukaryota; Metazoa; Mollusca; Bivalvia; Myida; Dreissenidae
Exons: 4
Source: RefSeq, a predicted model, not a curated record